This 465-nucleotide ribosomal RNA is filed under the name uncultured bacterium. RNAcentral describes it as "partial 16S ribosomal RNA". It matches the Rfam family "Bacterial small subunit ribosomal RNA", at positions 28 to 507 of the family's 1533-position model. The record is from RNAcentral.
GACGAACGCUGGCGGCGUGCCUAACACAUGCAAGUCGAACGGAAAGGCCCUGCUUGCAGGGUACUCGAGUGGCGAACGGGUGAGUAACACGUGGGUGAUCUGCCCUGCACUUCGGGAUAAGCCUGGGAAACUGGGUCUAAUACCGGAUAGGAGCCAUUUUUAGUGUGAUGGUUGGAAAGUUUUUUCGGUGUAGGAUGAGCUCGCGGCCUAUCAGCUUGUUGGUGGGGUAAUGGCCUACCAAGGCGGCGACGGGUAGCCGGCCUGAGAGGGUGGACGGCCACAUUGGGACUGAGAUACGGCCCAGACUCCUACGGGAGGCAGCAGUGGGGAAUAUUGCACAAUGGGCGCAAGCCUGAUGCAGCGACGCCGCGUGGGGGAUGACGGCCUUCGGGUUGUAAACUCCUUUCGCUAGGGACGAAGCUUUUUGUGACGGUACCUAGAGAAGAAGCACCGGCUAACUACGUG